Long non-coding RNA from Mesocricetus auratus (golden hamster), 5746 nucleotides. RefSeq lists it as uncharacterized. Lineage: Eukaryota; Metazoa; Chordata; Mammalia; Rodentia; Cricetidae. The transcript has 5 exons. The record is from RefSeq and is a predicted model, not a curated record.
AGCAAGAAUAAGGAGUAUUGGCAGCAGCAAGCAGGCAGGCAGGCUGAGAUUUUGCAUGGGAAUCAUGAACCCUGUCUUGCUUUUCUUUUCUGAAAUGUUUUGGAAGGAGAGUUAUGAAUAGGUCUCAUUUUGUGGGUGGGAAAAACAAUAGCCAGAGGCAUGAAAGCUAAACCUUCCAGCAAGUGUGAGGUACCUCUCUUGGAGUGUGCAGUCAACCCGAGAGGAGGAAUUUUACCUUCUGCGAACUUCUGAACCAUCACAUCUGGAGUGAAAGGGACGGCAAAGCAGUGUGAUACCGUAGACGAUGCUGCUGAGCGCUUUGGUCUGCCUUUAACUCAUUGUGGCAAAGUUGGACAUCCCAAAGAUGGCGUAGAUGAACAUGACCAGGAAAAGCAGGAGGCCGAUGUUGAACAGCGCGGGGAGAGACAUCAUCAGAGCAAAGAGCAGGGUGCGGAUCCCCUUGGCGCCUUUGAUCAGGCGUAGGAUCCGGCCGAUCCUGGCCAGGCGGAUGACUCGGAAGAGGUGACAAGAAUGAUAUACUGCAGGUAAUCUGAUGAAACUAUUGGAAACCAGAGUGGAGAAAACACCUAGACCACAAGUCUGAAGAGCAUACUGGAGAUGAGACAUACAGUGCCCACCUCAGAGAAUUCUACGUAGUCAAUCACCCCUCAGACCUGUCAGCUCUAAUACAACCUCAGACAAUCUGCUGCUAAGCAACCAGCGAGGCAAGGAAGACCGGUUGCUGUGUUAGACUAACCUGGAGGGAAGUGAAUUCCAACACUUGAUUCCUCCUCUGAGAAGUAUUUAAGUACCACUAAUGGAGCCUCUGAACAGAUGACAGCAGAUCCCCUCCUACAGGCAGAGAAAUGUCUCAGGUCUCUGCUGUCUCUGGGGAAUCCUUAAGGACUCUGCUGUCUGGAAGGAAUAUUGUUCUGAAAACCUAUAAGGAGUCAAAAAUCAGAGGCAGCCCAUCUGACGGUGUAAAAUUCCACUUUGAAGAGAUUUGUUUAGUUUUCAGCAUGUUGUACUCUUGUACAGAGAACACUCAUGGGAGAAUCCCCCUAGAUGUUGACAGUUCAAAUUAUGACUUUCUCAGAAGUUAUGGAAGUGAGUCUCUAUACUAAUUCUUACCCUAGUUACCGGAUUGGGAAAAUGUGAGCAUUGUUUGCCCAUUAUCACAGCUAGCAAAUUUCUCACUGGACCUCUGUAUCAUUUUGACCACAUAGAAGGCACCUCAUGGUGUAAGUUCAAAUUGUAAUUAUCAAAUGUUUUAUCAGAACUCUUUUGUGUUCAGUUAGGUUAGUUUUAUAUUAUGUGCAUAUCAUUGGUGAUUUCCAGUUUGUUUUGUAAUGACUAUUAACAGCAUUUGUCCUACAUAUAAUGUCUAUGCUUUAACAUGGGAUAUAUUUUUAAACUCUUUCUCAGAAAUUUCAACAGCAAGUUUUGUUUGACAGUUUUCUAUAUGUCUUGCCUCUGUAGUCAUAACUUUAUGACAAAGAUAAUGUGAGUCCUUUAUUUCAGGAAUUUCAAAAUAGUUAUUAGUGUAUAACUGCAUUGGGAACUCAGAAUAUUUUAUAUACCCCUCCUCACCAUGUCCAGUGAGUUUCUUGAUGGGGUUGUCUUUUUCUAUAUAUGUUUCUCUUAUUGGUUAAUGAAUAAAACACUGUUCGCCAAUGAGACAGGAAGAUAGACGGAUUGAGGAGACAAGGAGAGUUCUGGGAAAGGUAGGCAGAUGGAGCCCGCCACAGAGUCACACUGUGGAGCCCGGGAGGGAACGAUGGCCAGGUGUUCUCCAGUAAGAUGGAUUUCUCUAAGUCCAUGUAGAAAUACAUAGAUUAAUAGAAAUGGGUUAAUAAUUAAGACAGACCUAGCCAAUAAGAAGCCCAAGCCACUAGUCCAACAGUUUUAUAACUGAUACAUCAUCUGUGUGUUCAUUUGGGGCUGAAGGGCAUUGGGACCAACCCGGGAAAAGAUACUCUCAUGUUACAGUUUCUUACCUAUGGUCACUUAAAUUGCAUUUAUAUUAAACCAGCCCAAACUAAACAAACCAAAUUUAAAAAUCUUUUAAAUGGCACCAAGAUGCAUGAAUAAAUAAAAUGAAAAUAAAAAUACCUUUAAAUAUAUGGAUAGAAUUAGUUCAGAUCUAAAUUGGAAAAAAAGUGGAAAUGUAAAAAAAAUUAACAUUUAUCCUUUUUAUUUCGGCUCACUGCUGCUACGUAAAAUACUGCUCUGAAAAUGUCCCUUCUUUAGAAACAGUGAUGCUUCUCACCAGGCAAAAUUCUGACUCAACUUCAUUUUUCAAGCAAUUUCAAGCAUCAUGAAAUCUUUAUAAAUGUUUUUUUAAAGGGUCUUAAAUUAAAUCAGAGUUAAUAUCAAUGAAGGUAACCUAACUUGGUAAGAUGUACUGUUAAUCUGAGGUGAUAGUGUUUACUUUAUUAAUGUUGCACCCCACCCCAACUUUUAAUAUAGCUCUAUCAAGAGAAAAGUAUCAGAAAAGCCCAAAGUAAGAAGAGCACAUGAGUGAUGGAUUAUAUAUAGUGAUUGUCAAAGUGACAAGAUACAGAGUCACCUUAAAUAUCUGAGCUUGUCCUUGGGGGAUUUUCUGAUUUAGGUCACUGAAGGAAGGAAAAUUCACCUCUACUGCCAGGCGAAUAAACAGGAGCAAAUAAGCUGAUGAUCAAUAGUUAUCCUCUGCUUCUUGCCUAUAGAAGCAACAUGGCCAGCAGUUUUAAGCUCUUGACACUGUUUUUCCCACCAUGACAGACUACACUCUGCUUUGCAAGCCAGAAUCAAUUCUUUCUUCCUGAAUUUUCUUUUGUCCAGUAUUUGAUCACAAGAAAGGCAACCAAUUCAGAAAAUUGUUCCUGUCAAGUUUGUCAUCAUAAAUGUGAUUCUUAGGCCUUUGGAACUAGUUCACAGGGGGGAGUAUGGAAUAGUUUGUACUUUGUGUGAGCAAAGCCCUUGAGCACAGAGCAGAGAGAAAUGGACUGUUCUUGUGGAAGCUUGGAAGACAGUAAUGCCAGAGAAACACAGGCAGUAAAGACCUCGAUCCCGAGGUUUUAGAGGGGGAAAUGACUCUGCUUUGAAUUGGUCUUGGGCAUGCAUAUGAGAUAUUCCGGCUGAGAAUCUGGCUUCAUUCUGUCCUUGUUCUGAGAAAUCAAAGGACGUUGAAUUUAAAGAAAAUGAUUAAUCUGUUUGGCAGAGGAAAUUUCAUGACAGAAACACAUUAGUGCUGUAUCAUAGUUAUUUCAUUACUUCUCAUUUCUUUUGCCCAAGACAAGACAAAUGUGAACUUUGGCAAGGCAUGUCAUGUGAACAAGUUUGAAAACUAGCACUAUGUACUGGGCCUACAGAAAAAGGUUGGGCAACGCCAAGGGCAAGCCCAGGAGCGUCAAACAGGGUGUGAGAUGGGAAGCCAGGACAGAGAAGUGAACAAGGUGAGAGGAUAACUAACACUAAAGACCUUUAGAAAAAGUUAAUGAGGUCAGAAUGUCCCAUGGUGGUACAUGCCUCCAACCCAUCCCUCAUGGUGAAGGUAAGAGGAUCAUAAAGUCAAGGACAGCCUGUAAUAUAUAGUAAGCUUGAGGCAAGCCUGGUUUAUGUAAGACCCUGUCUCAAAAAAAAAUAAGCAAAUAAACAAACACCAAUCUUGUAGUUAAUGUAUCAUAUUUAUACAAUUAGGUUUAUCAUUACCCUUAUUUAAAGUGUAAGUGUAUCUGUGAUAAGUGAAUAAUAAUCAGAACUGCUGUUCAUUAAGACAAGGUACAAUUAAUAUGGAAUCUCAUAUUUUACUACUGUCAAUUAAGAUGAUUUAUAAUUAAUAUAGAAAUUAUGUACUUUAUGUCAUAUAAAAUUGCAUUGCUUUGAUCAAUAGGAGAUACAUUAGAAAUGCUGAUCAAUUUUUAAGUCUUUAGAUUGGUAAGAUAAUUUUCUAUAAAUGCACCCUUAUGGGUCAGGAAUGAGCUUUCAUCUUAUAAACAGAACUUAACUGGAGUCUCAGUGUCUGAGCACUAAUUACACUUGAGAGUCGCAUGGCUCAGUGGGUUAAAGAGGGUGUGGUAAGGGAUUCUGUUUUCUUGUUGUUGUUUUGUUUUUUCUUUUAGAAUAUGAACAGCUUAACUCAUUUGUGCUAAACAUAGGAAAUAAUUUGAAGAUGCUAAAUAAGAGCCUCGUUACACAGGCAUCAGAAAUGAUUCUGUCAAGGCACAAACAUCACUGUUUGGGUUUUAUUGAUUUGGGAGCUGGAGUAACCCAGUUGAAGGAAACAGGUUUGACUCAGAAAUCCCUCUUUUACAGAAAUCCAAGUGUCUGUUGACAUCAUCAGGGCAAAGUGACAGCUCCAGUGUGAUUGUCAGGGAUACACUUACAGACGGAUCAUAAAAACAAAGGCACUGCAUCUAAAAAUUCUCUUCAUCCCUUCACAUCUUUUCUAUUUGUGGUAUGGAAAAUCCAAUGACAUUAAAAGCAUUGUGGAAGACCAGAAAUGCAAUGUUCCAUUUUGGAAACACUGUGGAAUGACAACUAAGAACACUUACAGAUGGUGCCUGACACUGUCUGUACACACGGUACCAAAGUGACACAAGCCUCGGCACCCAAGUGGGAUAGCAAGAUUACAAAAUCUUUGUUUAUCUUUAUCUACUGGGUUUUCCUCCUUUAUAUAAUAUAAAGUAAGGCAGUAUCUAUACCACAAGUGAUGAACCCAGUCAUACAAAGAUGUUUGCGCAAUAUUGGUCAAUCAUCAGAAAUAUGUUAUAGAGGCACACCGUAGCCUAGAAUCAGGCCACUGGUGAUACUGUCCUGUGUGACCUCAGCUAGCCAACUUCUGUGAAUCCCAGCAUUUCCUCCCCUUCACGACCCCUACCUUUGAUAUUUUUAUCAAUAAUUAAGGAUAGAAUACAAAAUGAUAGAUCUUGGGAACUGGGGAUUUAACCUAGUGGUAGAGUGUUUGCCUAGCGAGCACAAGGCCCUGGGUUUGGUUCUCAGCUCUGGAAAACAAAACAAAACAAACAAACAAAAAUACAGAAUAAUAGAUUUCAUCAUGGCAUAUUCAUAUAUAUUAUCUAUGUCAUUAUACUUUGCUCCUUAUCAUUCCCCUACCCCACUGCCUUUCUCUGCACCCCUCCCCAACUCCAACUGGUUAGCUUUCCUCCCCCAAGCUAUUCCCAAGUUCUGCAUUGUUACAUAUUUUUCAUUAGCCUCCAUUAACAUGUCUUCCUUCAAAUCAUAUUCUUUCUAGUUUCAUGACCUACACAUGUGUAUAAAAAUACCUAUAUACCUAAAUAAUUUUAUGUGAGUGAAAAUGAAGAGCAAGAAUAAUGAAACUAUCAGUGUUGUUGCAAAUUUAUAGAGAAGACUGAAGUGAGGAAUUGAACAUUCCUUUUGAGACUGACUUGGUAUGCGAACUUUCCUGGUGACAAACACAGGCAUUGUUAAACAGAUGGGAAGAAAGAAAAAGAUCAAGGUAAUUGCUCAGAUAAGCUUGCAGAUUAAAAGCAGUAUUGAUUUAUUCUGUGUUACCAGUAAAGCAUGGGUAUCACAUUAAGGAAAAAAAUAAAAGCACUUCCCAUGGAGUUAUUUAACCAAUAAAUAAAUAAAUAAAUAAAUAAAUGUUCCACAUAUGAGAAAAAUCAUGUAGUGUUUUUAAAAGUUUCACUUAAUGAUACAAUUUCCAGUUGCAUCUGUUUUUUCCAUAAAUGUCAUUAUUUCAUCUUUUUAAAUGGUUCCAUAAAUUACAACUGUGCAUUUA